CUUCGGGGAUGGAUCAGUGGCGAACGGGUGAGUAACACGUGGGCAAUCUGCCCCUCACUGUGGGAUAACUCCGGGAAACCGGGGCUAAUACCGCAUAUGAAGCCUGGCGGCAUCGCCGGGUUUGGAAAGUUUUUCGGUGAGGGAUGAGCCCGCGGCCUAUCAGCUUGUUGGUGAGGUAAUGGCUCACCAAGGCGACGACGGGUAGCCGGCCUGAGAGGGCGACCGGCCACACUGGGACUGAGACACGGCCCAGACUCCUACGGGAGGCAGCAGUGGGGAAUAUUGGGCAAUGGGCGAAAGCCUGACCCAGCGACGCCGCGUGCGGGAUGAAGGCCUUCGGGUUGUAAACCGCUUUCAGCAGGGAAGAAGCGAAAGUGACGGUACCUGCAGAAGAAGCACCGGCUAACUACGUGCCAGCAGCCGCGGUAAUACGUAGGGUGCAAGCGCUGUCCGAAAUUAUUGGGCGUAAAGAGCUCGUAGGCGGUUUGCUACGUCGGAUGUGAAACCCUGAGGCUCAACCUCAGGCCUGCAUACGAUACGGGCUAACUAGAGUGUGGUAGGGGAGACUGGAAUUCCUGGUGUAGCGGUGAAAUGC
This 595-nucleotide ribosomal RNA is filed under the name uncultured bacterium. RNAcentral describes it as "bacterial SSU rRNA". It matches the Rfam family "Bacterial small subunit ribosomal RNA", at positions 78 to 689 of the family's 1533-position model. The record is from RNAcentral.